This 163-nucleotide ribosomal RNA is filed under the name Draba bellardii. RNAcentral's name for it is "5.8S ribosomal RNA". The stretch from base 1 to 79 matches the Rfam family "5.8S ribosomal RNA", at positions 78 to 154 of the family's 154-position model. Lineage: Eukaryota; Viridiplantae; Streptophyta; Magnoliopsida; Brassicales; Brassicaceae. The record is from RNAcentral. RNAcentral also lists the same sequence under 2 other names.
AAUCCCGUGAACCAUCGAGUCUUUGAACGCAAGUUGCGCCCCAAGCCUUCUGGCCGAGGGCACGUCUGCCUGGGUGUCACAAAUCGUCGUCCCCAUCCUUUGCUGAUAAGGGACGGAAGUUGGUCUCCCGUGUGUUACCGCACGCGGUUGGCCUAAAUCUGAG